This 552-nucleotide long non-coding RNA is filed under the name Carica papaya (papaya). Its description in RNAcentral is "long non-coding RNA (CPAP_LNC016595)". Lineage: Eukaryota; Viridiplantae; Streptophyta; Magnoliopsida; Brassicales; Caricaceae. The record is from RNAcentral.
CGAUAGUACUUAGCCAAAGGGGACCCCUAACAGGUAUUUGCAUCACCACUCUCGUCAGAGAGUACGCCAUUAUCCACAGGGAGUGGUUCUCUUACGUCUUUUCAGACCUAAUGGGGGAGGGAAAAACAAAUACCCCGAAUGUAGUUAGGGGAAUAGGUACCCCUCAAAGAUAAAAAGUCUAACAAGACACUUGAUGCAUUAUGCAUGUCAAUACAGAUACAUACUUCGGACCAUUCAUGCUUCAUUCCACUUUUUUUUGUUUCUUUUAUUUUUCAGGUAAUCUUAUCGGUUUCAUAUUAUUUUAGUUACAUGCAAAUCAUCAAGUGUCUAUAAAUCACAUAGCAUGCUUGAAAUCAAGAACAAUUCAACUUAUUAAGCCUACAAACAUAAAGGCAUGCAAGAACACGCGAAAUCACAAAUUAUCAAUUUAAUAUUUUUUUGGUCUAAAAAUACACCUUAAGAGGUUUAAAGAAAUACUAAAUUCCUUACCAAAAUCUUGAUAAUUUCUUCUACACCAUCCUUCUUUUCUUCCUCUCCUUCUCUCUCUAGAUC